Molecule: long non-coding RNA, 489 nt
Organism: Myotis brandtii (Brandt's bat)
Lineage: Eukaryota; Metazoa; Chordata; Mammalia; Chiroptera; Vespertilionidae
Exons: 3
Source: RefSeq, a predicted model, not a curated record
CCUGUGUGUGUGUGUAGAGGCAACCGUGGGCAAACUACGGCCCUCGGGCCAGAUCCGGCCCGUUCAGCUGUUCUAUCCGGCCCGCGGAGCCGAAAGAGCGGAGGGUUCUCUUGCUCUCCCCUCCGCUCCUUCACCAGCAGCAGUGUUAACAUGGCAACGUCGGGAAACACGGCCGCAGCUCCUUCUUCUGAGUGGGCGGAUUUACAUCCGCCCAUUCAGUAGAAGGAACAACCUCUCAAUCUUCCAGAGGCUCCUUGUAAUGCCCUCGGACGCGUCUCCCGACAUCACCCUGGGAAUGGGUAGACACGUUAUCGUGGUGAUGUAGGGAGACACGCCCCUGGAGAGCACAGUAUCAGAGCCUUUGCCAUCUUCAAUAUAAGGUAUGUUAUUGUGCUAUGAUUCCUCCAUUUUUUGAAGUUUCAAAUUAUAAUAAUUAGUGUUUACAUUCUUCUUGUUAAAAUGUUUGAAAUGAAUAAAACUAUUGAAAUA